RNAcentral lists this ribosomal RNA (254 nucleotides) under uncultured bacterium. Its description in RNAcentral is "partial 16S ribosomal RNA". It matches the Rfam family "Bacterial small subunit ribosomal RNA", at positions 524 to 776 of the family's 1533-position model. The record is from RNAcentral.
CACGUAGGGGCCAAGCGUUGUCCGGAUUCAUUGGGCGUAAAGAGCUCGUAGGCGGUUCAGUCAGUCGGGUGUGAAAUCUCCGGGCUCAACUCGGAGGGGCCACCCGAUACUGCUGUGACUCGAGUCCGGUAGGGGAGUGGGGAAUUCCUGGUGUAGCGGUGAAAUGCGCAGAUAUCAGGAGGAACACCGGUGGCGAAGGCGCCACUCUGGGCCGGUACUGACGCUGAGGAGCGAAAGCCAGGGGAGCGAACGGG